GGCCGACUAGCUCAGUUGGUUAGAGCGUGGUGCUAAUAUGACAGCCUUGUAUUGUACGGAAGGUGUCACGCCAAGGUCGUCGGUUCGACCCCGGCGUUGGCCA
Non-coding RNA from Neolentinus lepideus HHB14362 ss-1, 103 nucleotides. Lineage: Eukaryota; Fungi; Basidiomycota; Agaricomycetes; Gloeophyllales; Gloeophyllaceae. The record is from the annotation of a GenBank genome assembly.